AUUCAACCAAUCAUUCAACCAAUCAAUAUCCCUAAAAAUUAUCCAAAACAUUCAACCAAUCAUUCCAAAACAUACCAUUCAAUUCCAUACCUAUUGUCAUUCCAAAACAUACCAUUCCAUUCCAAAACAUAUCAUUCAAUAACCAAUAAAACAUACCAUUCCAUUCCAAAACAUACCAUUCAAUAACCAACAAAACAUAUCAUUCAUACAAUUCAUGUUAUUCAAAACUAAACUAAACCAAAAGAUAAAAGAAGAGGAACCUAUUUGUUGGUGUCAGUCACGCUAUUCGUCCCACUUUUAGUCGGACUUUGAGUCGCUUUUUUGCCAACAUUUUCGACAUUUGAAUCUCUUGUAGUAGGCGUGAUUAUGUUGUCGCGUCCUUGGCUCGACUGACCCUAAUGUAAAAAAGUCCUAUAAAAAACAAUCAAAUUAAAUAAUAAAUUAUAAUGAAUUAUAAUGAAAAUUAAUACUCACCCGCUCUUAAGAAUAGUGGCGGGAGUUGGUGCAUCCGGUUGUCUCAAUCCUUUUGUCCAUUUUCUUCGAUAUUCUUCAUCGAAGCGGUCCUCUACGAUUUCUUGAUCUAUUCUUGCAGAUUGUGAUCGUCCGUCGUUUGUUCGUUUACGACUUCGUCCGCGUGCCAUUUCUAAUGGAAUAUUUUCUAAAUGAAUAAAUAAAAUGAAAUUAGUUCGAUGACCUUUUGAAUCUUGCCGGUUAUACAUCCAAGUUCGAUCAUCAUCGGUCAUUCUAAAAUUUUAAACCAAUACAAUUAGUUUUUAAACCAAUACAAUUUUAAAGCUAAGGAUUUUCCCAUGGAAUUAAUAAAAUAUCCAAUAAAACAACAUGGGAAUUAAUCUAGCUUAAUUUACUUCAUAUAAAGUUCUAACACUUCAUAUAAAGUUCUAUGUUGCUUUCAAAAUAAAAGUUUUAUAUUAUAGAAGAUGAUCCAAUGAUUUAAUUUUACACAAAAAAUGCAAAAAAGACCAAAAAUUGAAAAAACAGCAAAGUAUAUGUAAAAUUAAAAACCUUUUUUUUAGCAGCUUGAAACAAGGACCUUACACGCCGAGCUCCAACUCCAACAAACCUAUGGUAGAAAAGUGAGCAACACACUAACAUUAUAUUCUGUUUGGGUUCAAACUUCAGAUUACAUUUCAAAUGCAUAUCUUUUCUUUUUUGAUAAUAUUAAAAUUUCAGUAAAAUGAAAGCACAGAUUACAAGAUUAGGAAUGAGAAAGUUCUCAUAGUCACUCACUCCUAAUAUAACUACAUCUAUAACAUUAUAUAAUCCAAUAAUGAUGCCUCAGAAGGUUGACUCCUAUGAGUUCAGCACAUUCUUCUCAAUCUGUGUUUGAAAGAGCUUUUUUUGGGAGGUAGAAUUGAAGAAUGUGCUCACAUUCCUUAGAACCUCUGUGCUGAUCACUUGCACAAAAUCAUAACUAGAGAAUCAAGUUUCAUGUACUUGUGAGUUGUGACAAGUUUUAUAUUUGAUUGGGAAAAUUCAAUUAUCAAGUCCAAAAAGAAAAUAAAUAAAGAUUAGAAUUUUCAAAAAUGUUAACACAGUUAAAAAGACAUUUAAAAAAACACCCAUCAGAGAGAGACGGACACAAUGCUAUUGAAAGGGAUCAAAUACGAUUAAGGAAAAAUACGUUCUAUUGUUGAACUGAAUGCUUAAAAUCGACUUACAACAACCGGGCGGCGAGAUCCCUUCUCUGAAAAACUCGCAGCCGACGACGAGAGGUGGUGGGAUAUAACUUCUACAGUCGAUGUUGAGAAUUCUACAGUAGAUUUGCUGCUGCUCUCCGCGUGACUUCUACAGUCCGAUCCGAACUCGGGGGAAUGAGAGGAACUCCUUUGCCGUUGGAAGGGAAUGGGGGGGGAAUGAGGGGAACUCCUUUUUUCUGCCGUUGGGAGGGAAUGGGGGAGGGGUUUGGGGGUUUUCACGAUUUGGGGGUAUCUUUUAAUAAAUGAAGUUAUUAAAUAUUUUUAAUUUAAAAUAUCUUUUUAAAUAUCUUUCUAAUUUAAUAAAUAUUUUUUAUAUUUAAAUUAUUCACUAAAUUAAAAAGAAGUUAUUUGGAAUUUAUAACUUUCAAAUAACAUUUUAAUUUAAUUUUUCACUUUAAAAUUUUAAAUAUAAAAAAAA
RNAcentral lists this long non-coding RNA (2136 nucleotides) under Zostera marina. RNAcentral describes it as "long non-coding RNA (ZMAR_LNC004058)". Lineage: Eukaryota; Viridiplantae; Streptophyta; Magnoliopsida; Alismatales; Zosteraceae. The record is from RNAcentral.